CUGGCGGCGUGCCUAAUACAUGCAAGUCGAACGGUCUUUCUAUGGAAGCUUGCUUCCACUGAGAAGAUAGUGGCGAACGGGUGAGUAACACGUGGGUAACCUGCCCAUAAGAGGGGGAGUAACAUCCGGAAACGGGUGCUAAUACCGCAUAGUUUUCUUGGUCGCGAUGAUCGGGAAAGGAAAGACGGCCUUUGUGCUGUCGCUUAUGGAUGGACCCGCGGCGUAUUAGUUAGUUGGUGAGGUAACGGCUCACCAAGACGAUGAUACGUAGCCGACCUGAGAGGGUGAUCGGCCACAUUGGGACUGAGACACGGCCCAAACUCCUACGGGAGGCAGCAGUAGGGAAUCUUCCGCAAUGGACGAAAGUCUGACGGAGCAACGCCGCGUGAGUGAAAGAAGGUUUUCGGAUCGUAAAACUCUGUUGUCAGAGAAGAACAAGUUGGAGAGUAACUGCUCCAGCCUUGACGGUAUCUGACCAGAAAGCCACGGCUAACUACGUGCCAGCCGCCGC
This 511-nucleotide ribosomal RNA is filed under the name uncultured bacterium. RNAcentral's name for it is "bacterial SSU rRNA". It matches the Rfam family "Bacterial small subunit ribosomal RNA", at positions 36 to 518 of the family's 1533-position model. The record is from RNAcentral.